CGGGGUGCAGCAGGCGCGAAAACUCCACAAUGUACGGAAGUACGAUGGGGUUAUCUCGAGUGCAGUCCGAUAAGGGCUGCUUUUCCAUAGAGUAAUAUCCUGUGGGAAUAAGAGGGGGGCAAGACUGGUGUCAGCCGCCGCGGUAACACCAGCCCCUCGAGUGGUGGGGACUAUUAUUUGGCCUAAAGCGUCCGUAGCUGGCUGUAUCCGUCCCCCGUUAAAUCCAGCGUCCUAAGCGUUGGACCGCGGGUGAUGCCAUACAGCUAGAGGGUGGGAUAGGUGAGCGGUAUUUCUGGGGUAGGGGCGAAAUCCUUUGAUCCCAGGAGGACCACCAGUGGCGAAGGCUGCUCACUAGAACACGCCUGACGGUCAGGGACGAAAGCUGGGGCAGCGGACCGGAUUAGAUACCCGGGUAGUCCCAGCUGUAAACGAUGCUAGCUAGGUGUUGGGUCGGCCACGCGCCGCCCCAGUGCCGCAGGGAAGCCGUUAAGCUAGCCGCCUGGGGAGUACGGCCGCAAGGCUGAAACUUAAAGGAAUUGGCGGGGGAGCACAAGGGCGAUUGC
RNAcentral lists this ribosomal RNA (563 nucleotides) under uncultured archaeon. Its description in RNAcentral is "bacterial SSU rRNA". It matches the Rfam family "Archaeal small subunit ribosomal RNA", at positions 326 to 891 of the family's 1478-position model. The record is from RNAcentral.